AGAGUUUGAUCCUGGCUCAGAUUGAACGCUGGCGGCGUGCCUAACACAUGCAAGUCGAGCGGUAACAGGUGUAGCAAUACAUGCUGACGAGCGGCGAACGGGUGAGUAAUGUUUCGGAAUCUGCCCAAUGGUGGGGAAUAACCAGCCGAAAGGUUGGCUAAUACCGCAUAAGUCCUACGGGAGAAAGCGGGGGAUCGUAAGACCUCGCGCCGAUGGAUGAGCCGAAACCGGAUUAGCUAGUUGGUAGGGUAACGGCCUACCAAGGCGACGAUCCGUAGCUGGUCUGAGAGGACGACCAGCCACACUGGGACUGAGACACGGCCCAGACUCUUACGGGAGGCAGCAGUGGGGAAUAUUGGACAAUGGGGGAAACCCUGAUCCAGCGACGCCGCGUGUGUGAAGAAGGCCUGCGGGUUGUAAAGCACUUUUAGUGGGGAUGAAAAGCUCAGGGCUAAUACCGCUGAGUCUUGACCUAACCCAAAGAAAAAGCACCGGCUAACUCUGUGCCAGCAGCCGCGGUAAUACAGAGGGUGCAAGCGUUAAUCGGAAUUACUGGGCGUAAAGCGUGCGUAGACGGUUAUGUAAGUCGGGUGUGAAAGCCCCGGGCUCAACCUGGGAAUUGCAUUCGAGACUGCAUAGCUAGGGUGCGGAAGAGGGAAGCGGAAUUUCCGGUGUAGCGGUGAAAUGCGUAGAUAUCGGAAGGAACACCAGUGGCGAAAGCGGCUUCCUGGUCCAGCACCGACGUUCAGGCACGAAAGCGUGGGGAGCAAACAGGAUUAGAUACCCCCGUAGUCC
Molecule: ribosomal RNA, 795 nt
Filed under: uncultured bacterium
Lineage: Bacteria
Description: bacterial SSU rRNA
Rfam family: Bacterial small subunit ribosomal RNA
Source: RNAcentral